This 301-nucleotide ribosomal RNA is filed under the name uncultured bacterium. RNAcentral's name for it is "partial 16S ribosomal RNA". It matches the Rfam family "Bacterial small subunit ribosomal RNA", at positions 509 to 807 of the family's 1533-position model. The record is from RNAcentral.
CAGUCGCCGCGGUAAUACGAAGGGUGCAAGCGUUACUCGGAAUUACUGGGCGUAAAGCGUGCGUAGGUGGUGGUUUAAGUCCGUUGUGAAAGCCCUGGGCUCAACCUGGGAAUUGCAGUGGAUACUGGGUCACUAGAGUGUGGUAGAGGAUAGUGGAAUUUCCGGUGUAGCAGUGAAAUGCGUAGGGAUCGGAAGGAACAUCUGUGGCGAAGGCGACUAUCUGGGCCAACACUGACACUGAGGCACGAAAGCGUGGGGAGCAAACAGGAUUAGAUACCCGUGUAGUCCCUGUCUCUUAUAC